GCACUUGUCAGACAACUUAGCCAUAUUGUCAAGCUCCGUAAUAAGAGAAUUUCUGAGAGGUCAAACCUAAUGUGAGAAAGUCUCCGAUAGGCAAUUAAAACAAAUACUCAACUACUCAAUUGAACAGCUCAGGUUGAGGAGAAUUACAGGCGCUGGAGGAGGGGGAGCUGAGAGCCAGCAUUGAACGACGACACAGUGAGGUAGAGCUGGUGAAUGAGCCCUAAAGUCUUCUGAAUAGAGUUAAUGACCUUGUUCAGGUCUUGCUUAGGAUCAUCCACCCCUGCUGUUCCUGCUGUAUCAUUGGUUUGAGGGACCAUUAUUCCG
RNAcentral lists this long non-coding RNA (324 nucleotides) under Fragaria vesca (wild strawberry). Its description in RNAcentral is "long non-coding RNA (FVES_LNC001798)". Lineage: Eukaryota; Viridiplantae; Streptophyta; Magnoliopsida; Rosales; Rosaceae. The record is from RNAcentral.